GGGGCUAAUACCGGAUAACACAUGGAACCGCAUGGUUUCAUGAUGAAAGACGGUUUUGCUGUCACUUAUAGAUGGACCCGCGGCGUAUUAGCUAGUUGGUAAGGUAACGGCUUACCAAGGCAACGAUACGUAGCCGACCUGAGAGGGUGAUCGGCCACACUGGAACUGAGACACGGUCCAG
Molecule: ribosomal RNA, 181 nt
Filed under: uncultured Staphylococcus sp.
Lineage: Bacteria; Bacillati; Bacillota; Bacilli; Caryophanales; Staphylococcaceae
Description: partial 16S ribosomal RNA
Rfam family: Bacterial small subunit ribosomal RNA
Source: RNAcentral